This 229-nucleotide ribosomal RNA is filed under the name uncultured bacterium. Its description in RNAcentral is "partial 16S ribosomal RNA". It matches the Rfam family "Bacterial small subunit ribosomal RNA", at positions 568 to 796 of the family's 1533-position model. The record is from RNAcentral.
UGCGUAGGUGGUUUGAUAAGUCAGAGGUGAAAUCCCACAGCUCAACUGUGGAACUGCCUUUGAUACUGGUUGUCUUGAGUUAUAGUGAAGUAGAUAGAAUAUGUAGUGUAGCGGUGAAAUGCAUAGAUAUUACAUAGAAUACCGAUUGCGAAGGCAGUCUACUAACUGUAUACUGACGCUAAUGGACGAAAGCGUGGGGAGCGAACAGGAUUAGAUACCCUGGUAGUCC